RNAcentral lists this ribosomal RNA (253 nucleotides) under uncultured bacterium. RNAcentral describes it as "partial 16S ribosomal RNA". It matches the Rfam family "Bacterial small subunit ribosomal RNA", at positions 524 to 776 of the family's 1533-position model. The record is from RNAcentral.
UACGAGGGGGGCGAGCGUUGUUCGGAAUUAUUGGGCGUAAAGGGUGCGUAGGCGGUUUUGUAAGUCUUAUGUGAAAUCUAUGGGCUCAACUCAUAGACUGCAUGAGAAACUGCAGGGCUUGAGUGUGGGAGAGGUGAGUGGAAUUCCUGGUGUAGCGGUGAAAUGCGUAGAUAUCAGGAGGAACACCUGUGGCGAAAGCGGCUCACUGGACCACAACUGACGCUGAUGCACGAAAGCUAGGGGAGCAAACAGG